UAGCUAGUUGGUGAGGUAAAGGCUUACCAAGGCGACGAUCUGUAGCGGGUCUGAGAGGAUGAUCCGCCACACUGGAACUGAGACACGGUCCAGACUCCUACGGGAGGCAGUAGUGGGGAAUUUUGGACAAUGGGGGCAACCCUGAUCCAGCCAUGCCGCGUGAGUGAAGAAGGCCUUCGGGUUGUAAAGCUCUUUCGGCCGGGAAGAAAUCGCAUGGGCCAAUACCCUGUGUGGAUGACGGUACCGGAAUAAGAAGCACCGGCUAACUACGUGCCAGCAGCCGCGGUAAUACGUAGGGUGCGAGCGUUAAUCGGAAUUACUGGGCGUAAAGCGUGCGCAGGCGGUUUUGUAAGACAGGCGUGAAAUCCCCGGGCUUAACCUGGGAACUGCGUUUGUGACUGCAAGGCUAGAGUACGGCAGAGGGGGGUGGAAUUCCACGUGUAGCAGUGAAAUGCGUAGAGAUGUGGAGGAACACCAAUGGCGAAGGCAGCCCCCUGGGUCGAUACUGACGCUCAUGCACGAAAGCGUGGGUAGCAAACAGGAUUAGAUACCCUGGUAGUCCACGCCCUAAACUAUGUCAACUAGGUGUUGGGUGGGUAAAACCAUUUAGUACCGUAGCUAACGCGUGAAGUUGACCGCCUGGGGAGUACGGCCGCAAGGUUAAAACUCAAAGGAAUUGACGGGGACCCGCACAAGCGGUGGAUGAUGUGGAUUAAUUCGAUGCAACGCGAAAAACCUUACCUACCCUUGACAUGCCAGGAACUUGCCAGAGAUGGCUUGGUGCCCGAAAGGGAGCCUGGACACAGGUGCUGCAUGGCUGUCGUCAGCUCGUGUCGUGAGAUGUUGGGUUAAGUCCCGCAACGAGCGCAACCCUUGUCGUUAAUUGCCAUCAUUUAGUUGGGCACUUUAACGAGACUGCCGGUGACAAACCGGAGGAAGGUGGGGAUGACGUCAAGUCCUCAUGGCCCUUAUGGGUAGGGCUUCACACGUCAUACAAUGGUCGGUACAAAGGGUUGCCAAGCCGCGAGGCGGAGCCAAUCCCAGAAAGCCGAUCGUAGUCCGGAUUGCAGGCUGCAACUCGCCUGCAUGAAGUCGGAAUCGCUAGUAAUCGUGGAUCAGCAUGUCACGGUGAAUACGUUCCCGGGUCUUGUACACACCGCCUGUCACACCAUGGGAGCGGGUUCCGCCAGAAGUAGGUAGCCUAACCGCAAGGGGGGCGCUUACCACGGCGGGGUUCGUGACUGGGGUGAAGUCGGAACAAGGUAGCCGUAGGGGAACCUGCGGCUG
This 1287-nucleotide ribosomal RNA is filed under the name metagenome. Its description in RNAcentral is "bacterial SSU rRNA". It matches the Rfam family "Bacterial small subunit ribosomal RNA", at positions 242 to 1520 of the family's 1533-position model. The record is from RNAcentral.